Molecule: ribosomal RNA, 253 nt
Filed under: uncultured bacterium
Lineage: Bacteria
Description: partial 16S ribosomal RNA
Rfam family: Bacterial small subunit ribosomal RNA
Source: RNAcentral
UACGUAGGGGCCGAGCGUUGUCCGGAGUUACUGGGCGUAAAGCGCGCGCAGGCGGCUCGUCAAGCCUGACGUGAAAGCCCCCGGCUCAACCGGGGAGGGUCGUCGGGGACUGGCGGGCUUGAGGUCGGCAGGGGUUGGUGGAAUUCCCGGUGUAGUGGUGAAAUGUGUAGAGAUCGGGAGGAACACCGGUGGCGAAGGCGGGUCUCUGGGCAUCUCCUGACGCUGAGGCGCGAAAGCGUGGGGAGCAAACGGG